GAUGAACGCUAGCGGCAGGCCUAACACAUGCAAGUCGAGGGGCAUCAUGGCGUAGCAAUACGCUGAUGGCGACCGGCGCACGGGUGCGUAACGCGUAUGGAACCUACCCACCGCAGGGGGAUAACCCGCCGAAAGGCGGACUAAUACCCCAUGGUUCCCCGACCCUGCCUGGGGUUGGGGGUAAAGCCUACGGGCGGCGGUGGAUGGCCCUGCGUGCCAUUAGCUGGCUGGUGGGGUAACGGCCCACCAGGGCGACGAUGGCUAGGGGGUCUGAGAGGACGAUCCCCCACAUUGGAACUGAGAUACGGUCCAGACUCCUACGGGAGGCAGCAGUAGGGAAUAUUGGGCAAUGGGCGGAAGCCUGACCCAGCCAUGCCGCGUGAAGGAAGACGGCCUUAUGGGUUGUAAACUUCUUUACUAUGCGACUAACUAGAUUUACGAGAUAAUUCUAUAGAAUGUAGCAUAGCAAAAGCACCGGCUAACUCCGUGCCAGCAGCCGCGGUAAAAUCACG
RNAcentral lists this ribosomal RNA (512 nucleotides) under uncultured bacterium. RNAcentral's name for it is "bacterial SSU rRNA". It matches the Rfam family "Bacterial small subunit ribosomal RNA", at positions 28 to 527 of the family's 1533-position model. The record is from RNAcentral.